Molecule: ribosomal RNA, 842 nt
Filed under: uncultured beta proteobacterium
Lineage: Bacteria; Pseudomonadati; Pseudomonadota; Betaproteobacteria
Description: bacterial SSU rRNA
Rfam family: Bacterial small subunit ribosomal RNA
Source: RNAcentral
CAAGUCGAGCGGCAGCGCGGGGCAACCUGGCGGCGAGCGGCGAACGGGUGAGUAAUGCAUCGGAACAUGUCCAUGUCGUGGGGGAUAGCCCGGCGAAAGCCGGAUUAAUACCGCAUAAGCCCGAGAGGGGAAAGCCGGGGACCGCAAGGCCUGGCGCGAUUGGGUUGGCCGAUGUCCGAUUAGCUAGUUGGCGGGGUAAGAGCCCACCAAGGCGAUGAUCGGUAGCUGGUCUGAGAGGAUGAUCAGCCACACUGGGACUGAGACACGGCCCAGACUCCUACGGGAGGCAGCAGUGGGGAAUUUUGGACAAUGGGGGAAACCCUGAUCCAGCCAUUCCGCGUGAGUGAAGAAGGCCUUCGGGUUGUAAAGCUCUUUUGUCCGGAACGAAACGGUUACGGCUAAUACCUGUGACUACUGACGGUACCGGAAGAAUAAGCACCGGCUAACUACGUGCCAGCAGCCGCGGUAAUACGUAGGGUGCGAGCGUUAAUCGGAAUUACUGGGCGUAAAGCGUGCGCAGGCGGUUUUGUAAGCCAGAUGUGAAAUCCCCGGGCUUAACCUGGGAAUGGCAUUUGGGACUGCAAGGCUUGAGUGCGGCAGAGGAGACUGGAAUUCCUGGUGUAGCAGUGAAAUGCGUAGAUAUCAGGAGGAACACCGAUGGCGAAGGCAGGUCUCUGGGCUGACACUGACGCUCAUGCACGAAAGCGUGGGGAGCAAACAGGAUUAGAUACCCUGGUAGUCCACGCCCUAAACGAUGUCGACUGGUUGUUGGGGGGUUUGACACUCUCAGUAACGAAGCUAACGCGUGAAGUCGACCGCCUGGGGAGUACGGCCGCAAGGUU